Non-coding RNA from Dipodomys ordii (Ord's kangaroo rat), 70 nucleotides. The record is from Rfam. NCBI's taxonomy places the organism in Eukaryota, Metazoa, Chordata, Mammalia, Rodentia, Heteromyidae.
GGGAAUGUGGCUCAGCAGUAGAGUGCUUGCCUUGCAUGCAUGAGACCCUGGGUUCGAUUCCUCAGUACCA